RNAcentral lists this ribosomal RNA (1524 nucleotides) under uncultured prokaryote. RNAcentral describes it as "partial 16S ribosomal RNA". It matches the Rfam family "Bacterial small subunit ribosomal RNA". The record is from RNAcentral.
GAACGCUGGCGGUAUGCUUAACACAUGCAAGUCGAACGAGAAAGUUUCCUUCGGGAAACGAGUAAAGUGGCGCACGGGUGAGUAACGCGUAGAUAACCUGUCCAAAUGACCGGGACAGCCCUUCGAAAGGGGGGUUAAUACCGGAUACGUCGAUUGUUUUUAAGGACAAUUAAAAAGUGUGGACUCUAUUAUAAUCUAUCACGCAUGUCGUUGUCUGCGUCCCCUUCGUUUUUUGGUUUGUUACUUUCCUCCCCCGACUACGAUGUUUAACGGGUCUGAGAGUAUGAUCCGUCAUACUGGCACUGAAACACGGGCCAGACUCCUACGGGAGGCAGCAGUGAGGAAUAUUGCGCAAUGGGGACAACCCUGACGCAGCGACGCCGCGUGGGUGAGGAAGGCUUUCGGGUCGUAAAGCUCUGUCAGAAGGGAAGAAAUGCUUAUAGGUUAAUACCUUGUAAGCUUGACGGUACCUUCAAAAGAAGCAACGGCUCACUACGUCCCCGCCGCGCUAAGUCAGACGGAGGUGCAAGCGUUGUUCGGAAUCACUGGGCGUAAAGUGCGCGUAGGCGGCCAAGCAAGUCAGAUGUGAAAGCCCACGGCUCAACCGUGGAAGUGCAUUUGAAACUGCUUGGCUUGAGUAUCAGAGGGGAAAGUGGAAUUCCCGGUGUAGAGGUGAAAUUCGUAGAUAUCGGGAAGAAUACCGGUGGCGAAGGCGACUUUCUGGCUGAAUACUGACGCUGAGGCGCGAAAGCGUGGGGAGCAAACAGGAUUAGAUACCCUGGUAGUCCACGCCGUAAACGAUGUCAACUAGAUGCAGGGGGUGUUGAUCCCCUCUGUGUCGCAGCUAACGCGAUAAGCUCUCCGCCUGGGGAGUACGACCGCAAGACUGAAACUCAAAUGAAUUGACGGGGACCCGCACAAGCGGGGGAGUAUGUUGUUUAAUUCGAUAACGCGAAGAAAACCUUACCUGGGUUUGACAUCCUGUGAAUCAUCAAGAGAUCAAAGAGUGCCUUCGGGAACACAGUGACAGGUGCUGCAUGGCUGUCGUCAGCUCGUGUCGUGAGAUGUUUGGUUAAGUCCAGCAACGAGCGCAACCCUUAUCGUUAGUUGCCAGCGCGUAAUGGCGGGAACUUUAGCGAGACUGCCCGGGUUAACCGGGAGGAAGGCGGGGAUGACGGUCAAGUCCUCAUGGCCCUUAUAUCCAGGGCUACACACGUGCUACAAUGGUAAAUACAGAGGGCAGCAAGCCAGCGAUGGUAAGCGAAUCCCUAAAGUUUAUCUCAGUCCGGAUUGGAGUCUGCAACUCGACUCUAUGAAGUUGGAAUCGCUAGUAAUCGCGGAUCAGCAUGCCGCGGUGAAUAUGUUCCCGGGCCUUGUACACACCGCCCGUCACACCAUGGGAGUUGAUUAUACCCGACGUCAUUGGGCUAACCCUUCGGGGAGCAGGUGCUAUCUAAUUUAGAAAGAGAAUAGGUAGUAUAAGUUAGUAGCUGGGAGGCAGGCGCCUAAGGUAUGGUUAUAACU